Molecule: regulatory RNA element, 174 nt
Organism: Ruminococcus sp.
Lineage: Bacteria; Bacillati; Bacillota; Clostridia; Eubacteriales; Oscillospiraceae
Rfam family: Lysine riboswitch aptamer
About the family: Riboswitches are metabolite binding domains within certain messenger RNAs that serve as precision sensors for their corresponding targets.
Source: Rfam
AGAAUUGAUAGAGGCGCGAAAGUAAAGAGUAGCGCGGUGCAGGCACUCAAAUGCCGUAUGCCGCAGUGAAAGGUGCUUUUGCCGAAGCUUUCCGUUUUUGAGAGCGGGAUUGCUGGGCGUUGGGAUAAUAUCCUCUCGACUGUCGCAAAAUUUUUGCGGAGUGCUACAAUAGAU